CAGUCUGGAAAUCGAGCGUACAUUCUCUGCGCCACUUCCAAUCAAGAAAUGAAAAGGUGGUUGGAGGCCAUGGAAACGGCUAUUCAUCCCAUCACACAGAAUCACGUGUGGAUUGAUGUCACGAGACACAACUCUAAUCUGCCUCCUCUGGCUGUGAAAAACCCUG
This is a long non-coding RNA of Nematolebias whitei (Rio pearlfish), 166 nucleotides long. RefSeq lists it as uncharacterized. The record is from RefSeq and is a predicted model, not a curated record. The transcript is spliced from 3 exons. NCBI's taxonomy places the organism in Eukaryota, Metazoa, Chordata, Actinopteri, Cyprinodontiformes, Rivulidae.